AGUGAACGCUGGCGGUAGGCCUAACACAUGCAAGUCGAACGGCAGCACAGUAAGAGCUUGCUCUUACGGGUGGCGAGUGGCGGACGGGUGAGGAAUACAUCGGAAUCUACUUUUUCGUGGGGGAUAACGUAGGGAAACUUACGCUAAUACCGCAUACGACCUACGGGUGAAAGCAGGGGAUCUUCGGACCUUGCGCGAUUGAAUGAGCCGAUGUCGGAUUAGCUAGUUGGCGGGGUAAAGGCCCACCAAGGCGACGAUCCGUAGCUGGUCUGAGAGGAUGAUCAGCCACACUGGAACUGAGACACGGUCCAGCCUCCUACGGGAGGCAGCAGUGGGGAAUAUUGGACAAUGGGCGCAAGCCUGAUCCAGCCAUACCGCGUGGGUGAAGAAGGCCUUCGGGUUGCAAAGCCCUUUUGUUGGGAAAGAAAAGCAGCAGGUUAAUACCCCGCUGUUCUGACGGUACCCAAAGAAUAAGCACCGGCUAACUUCGUG
Molecule: ribosomal RNA, 492 nt
Filed under: uncultured bacterium
Lineage: Bacteria
Description: partial 16S ribosomal RNA
Rfam family: Bacterial small subunit ribosomal RNA
Source: RNAcentral